AGAGUUUGAUCCUGGCUCAGGACAAACGCUGGCGGCGUGCCUAAGACAUGCAAGUCGAACGGGGAGCCUUCGGGCUCUUAGUGGCGGACGGGUGAGGAGCGCGUGGAGAAUCUACCCUGGGGUGGGGAAUACCCGCCAGAAAUGGCGGUUAAGACCGCAUACGACCCGCUGGCGCCGGCUGGCGGGGGAAAGCCGCAAGGUGCCCUGGGCGGACUCCGCGUCGGAUUAGCUGGUUGGUGGGGUGAUGGCCUACCAAGGCAACGAUCCGUAGCUGGUCUGAGAGGACGGCCAGCCACACUGGGACUGAGACACGGCCCAGACUCCUACGGGAGGCAGCAGUUAGGGAAUUUUGACAAUGGGCGCAAGCCUGAUCGAGUGACGCCGCGUGCGGGAUGACGCCUCUCGGGGUGUAAACCGCUUUUCCCCAGGACGAGGAGGGACGGUACUGGGGGAAGAAGUCUCGGCUAACUACGUGCCAGCAGCCGCGGUAACACGUAGGGCGCAAGCGUUGUCCGGAAUUAUUGGGCGUAAAGAGCUCGUAGGUGGUCUGUUGCGUCCGCUGUGAAAACCCAAGGCUUAACCUUGGGCUUGCAGUGGAUACGGGCAGACUAGAGGUAGGUAGGGGAGAAUGGAAUUCCCGGUGUAGCGGUGAAAUGCGCAGAUAUCGGGAGGAACACCGGUGGCGAAGGCGGUUCUCUGGGCCUUACCUGACACUGAGGAGCGAAAGCGUGGGGAGCGAACAGGAUUAGAUACCCUGGUAGUCCACGCCGUAAACGUUGGGCGCUAGGUGUGGGGUCCUUCCACGGAUUCCGUGCCGCAGCUAACGCAUUAAGCGCCCCGCCUGGGGAGUACGGCCGCAAGGCUAAAACUUAAAGGAAUUGACGG
Molecule: ribosomal RNA, 885 nt
Filed under: uncultured bacterium
Lineage: Bacteria
Description: bacterial SSU rRNA
Rfam family: Bacterial small subunit ribosomal RNA
Source: RNAcentral